CCUACGGGUGGCAGCAGUAGGGAAUAUUGCUCAAUGGGGGAAACCCUGAAGCAGCAACGCCGCGUGGAGGAUGAAGGUUUUCGGAUUGUAAACUCCUUUUGUUAGAGAAGAUAAUUACGGUAUCUAACGAAUAAGCACCGGCUAACUCCGUGCCAGCCGCCGCGGUAAUACGGAGGGUGCAAGCGUUACUCGGAACCACUGGGCGUAAAGGGCGCGUAGGCGGGAUAGCAAGUCAGAUGUGAAAUCCUAUGGCUUAACCAUAGAACUGCAUUUAGAACUGUUAUUCUAGAGUAUGGGAGAGGUAGGUGGAAUUCUUGGUGUAGGGGUAAAAUCCGUAGAGAUCAAGAGGAAUACUCAUUGCGAAGGCGACCUGCUAGAACAUAACUGACGCUGAUGCGCGAAGGCGUGGGGAGCAAACAGGAUUAGAUACCCGGGUAGUC
This 440-nucleotide ribosomal RNA is filed under the name uncultured bacterium. RNAcentral's name for it is "partial 16S ribosomal RNA". It matches the Rfam family "Bacterial small subunit ribosomal RNA", at positions 338 to 795 of the family's 1533-position model. The record is from RNAcentral.